UACGUAGGGUGCGAGCGUUGUCCGGAAUUAUUGGGCGUAAAGGGCUCGUAGGCGGUUUGUCGCGUCGGGAGUGAAAACCUCGGGCUUAACUCGGGGCUUGCUUUCGAUACGGGCAGACUAGAGGUAUGCAGGGGAGAACGGGAUUCCUGGUGUAGCGGUGAAAUGCGCAGAUAUCAGGAGGAACACCGAUGGCGAAGGCAGGUCUCUGGGCAUUAACUGACGCUGAGGAGCGAAAGCAUGGGGAGCGAACAGG
Molecule: ribosomal RNA, 253 nt
Filed under: uncultured bacterium
Lineage: Bacteria
Description: partial 16S ribosomal RNA
Rfam family: Bacterial small subunit ribosomal RNA
Source: RNAcentral